RNAcentral lists this long non-coding RNA (1164 nucleotides) under Oryzias javanicus (javanese ricefish). Its description in RNAcentral is "lncRNA (ENSOJAG00000017913.1)". The record is from RNAcentral. Lineage: Eukaryota; Metazoa; Chordata; Actinopteri; Beloniformes; Adrianichthyidae.
AUAAGUAAGCAUUCAUUUUCCUAUUACAUAUGUAGGAUAUUGAAAGGUUUCUAAUAAUGAAGGGUUUUUUAUAGGUCACCCUUUAUACUUUGUUAUUAACACAUUGAUGUUGGCAUCGUUACAUUAACCCACAUGGAGCUCCAGACCAGUUGAAACCAGUUAGGGGGUGGUUCAAGGACUUAAUUAGCAUUUUUCCACUGAAAAACAAAGCCUUGAAUCAUCUUGCUGCCAGGAGCAGGGAGACUGACACUGACCACUCAAAAUGUAGAUUUCUGGAAGAUCACCAUUUAAGGUGUGGUGCUGGAGGGAGUGGCUCCCAUUGGCCCAAACCAGGUGGAGCCACCUUCAAAAGCACCAUGAGGACUUCCAGCCCACGAGAGGGGAGCUGGGCUGCAACCAGUCUCCACUGCAGCUCAGUGCUCUUCUCCACCUCUUUUAGUUUCUGUGCACAUUGUAGUUUGUUUGGUGUUUUGUUUUGGUCCCACUCUGUUUUUGGUGUUUGUGUUAGUUGUGUUAAUUAAGUGAAGCUGUAGGGGUGAACCGCCAUUUUCUUUAGUAAAUGUUUUCUCCUGUUUCUGUUAGUCCAGGGAGGUUAGUGUUUGUCAUUCUUUUACUGUUUCUUUUGCAGGUAAGCUCCCUGGGUUGAGUUAGUUGGGGUUUUGUUUGUUGUUUUGGCCUGGGUUCACCCUGAAGCCUCAAAGCUUCACUUUGAGUUAUUGAUUUGUUUAGUGUUGUAAAUAAAUUUGUUAUAAUUUUAUGGAGACAUUUGUUUUUAUUUUCCUUUAUUUUACCUUUAUGCUACGCCUCACACCCCUCGACCAAACGGGGCGUAACAGAUCAUCUUUGAUCUAUUAAAGUAUUUCCAGUGGUCUUUUAAUUCCGAUUAUGCUGUUUUGAGGAAAAAUAAAAUGAGUUGUUUUUAGGACAUAAUUUCAUUAGUUCAUUAGAAAUUUGCCUCUGAGUUGCGCGCUGGACUGUUGUUGCAGCAUCUGUCUCUAACGCUAGCUUACAGCUCUUCACAACCUCAACCUAACAUAACUGGUGCAACGAAUAUGUCAAUCAAUAUUGGAGUUAUCCAGCAUCCAAUUUUGAGGCAAUUUCAGCUCGGCCAAGGAAAACAAAGACGCAUAUGGAUCUAUUUAUCCGCAAGUGGAUGCAUCAGAA